This 256-nucleotide ribosomal RNA is filed under the name uncultured archaeon. RNAcentral's name for it is "partial 16S ribosomal RNA". It matches the Rfam family "Bacterial small subunit ribosomal RNA", at positions 521 to 776 of the family's 1533-position model. The record is from RNAcentral.
UAAUACGGGGGGGGCCAGCGUUGUUCGGAAUUACUGGGCGUAAAGGGCGUGUAGGCGGCCUUCUAAGUCAGACGUGAAAUCCCUCGGCUCAACCGGGGAACUGCGUCUGAUACUGGAGGGCUUGAAUUCGGGAGAGGGAUGCGGAAUUCCAGGUGUAGCGGUGAAAUGCGUAGAUAUCUGGAGGAACACCGGUGGCGAAGGCGGCAUCCUGGACCGAUAUUGACGCUUAAGCGCGAAAGCCAGGGGAGCAAACGGG